Molecule: small RNA, 1765 nt
Filed under: Pongo abelii (Sumatran orangutan)
Lineage: Eukaryota; Metazoa; Chordata; Mammalia; Primates; Hominidae
Description: processed transcript
Source: RNAcentral
UUUUUGGAAUCCCAGCUUCACCCUGUCAACUGCUUAGGAAUCCGGGCUUUUGCUGAUAUGCAUGCAUGUACCGACCUUCUGAACAAGGCCAACACCUAUGCAGAGCAACAUUUUGCAGAUGUCGUACUUAGUGAAGAAUUUCUCAAUCUUGGCAUCGAACAAGUGUGCAGCUUAAUCUCAAGCGACAAACUUACCAUUUCUUCAGAAGAGAAGGUAUUUGAAGCAGUAAUAGCGUGGGUGAACCACGACAAGGAUGUGAGGCAAGAGUUUAUGGCCCGACUGAUGGAACAUGUACGGUUACCUUUGCUUCCUCGGGAAUAUUUAGUUCAGAGGGUUGAAGAGGAAGCAUUGGUCAAGAAUAGCAGUGCUUGCAAAGAUUACCUCAUUGAAGCAAUGAAGUAUCAUUUGCUGCCAACAGAGCAGCGUAUAUUAAUGAAGAGUGUCCGGACUCGGCUGAGGACACCCAUGAACCUUCCCAAAGCAUGGUCUACAUGGCUGGACUUGUUUUUGCUGUUGGUGGCUUUAAUGGCUCAUUAAGAGUUCGCACUGUAGAUUCCUACGACCCUGUGAAGGACCAGUGGACCAGCGUUGCUAACAUGAGAGACCGGAGAAGCACUUUGGGAGCUGCUGUGUUAAAUGGAUUGUUAUACGCUGUGGGAGGCUUUGAUGGGAGUACAGGUUUGUCAUCUGUGGAAGCAUACAACAUAAAGUCUAAUGAGUGGUUUCAUGUAGCUCCCAUGAAUACAAGGAGGAGCAGUGUUGGUGUGGGUGUUGUUGGAGGUUUGCUCUAUGCUGUAGGAGGUUAUGAUGGAGCAUCACGUCAGUGUCUUAGCACAGUAGAAUGCUAUAAUGCUACAACAAAUGAGUGGACCUAUAUAGCAGAAAUGAGCACCAGGCGGAGUGGAGCAGGUGUUGGUGUGUUAAACAAUUUAUUGUAUGCUGUAGGAGGUCAUGAUGGCCCUUUAGUACGAAAAAGUGUUGAAGUAUAUGAUCCCACCACUAAUGCCUGGAGACAGGUUGCAGAUAUGAACAUGUGCAGAAGAAAUGCAGGAGUUUGUGCAGUUAAUGGUCUGUUAUAUGUUGUUGGAGGGGACGAUGGUUCCUGUAACUUGGCAUCAGUAGAAUAUUAUAACCCAACAACCGAUAAAUGGACAGUUGUGUCAUCGUGUAUGAGCACAGGGAGAAGUUAUGCAGCCUGCUCAAUGUGAAGAGACAAGGAUGAAGACCUUGAUGAUGAUCCACUUCCCCUUAAUGAAUAGGGUCACAGUUAUUGAUAAACCAUUAUGAGCCUGAAGGACAUUUUCAGCAUAUUUAUACAUGAGAAACAGCCUUCAACAAGUAUUUGUGAAGUGACUGAGAAUCUAGCACUUCUCCACUUGUAGCUGCACUUUAAGUCUCAGCAGAAGAUACGAUCGUCUGCCUUUAUAGGCCUCGGAUACUGAAGAUUAUUUUUGGUAGAAGCACCGUGUAGGCUUUUUCUGCAAUGAGCAGCAGCUGACUGAAUUUUCAUAAGAAACUUGGACUGCAGGACUUAAUCUGUAGUCUUUAGACAACAGUUGCUUUCAUAAAGACUAGUUCUUAUCAACCUUGAAUGACUACAGAUUAUUUUGUGAAGGAGGAUGAAGUAAUAUGUGUUCUUGUAAAAUUAAAUUUUAUCUUUAUUUCUUCUAAAAAUCUGUAUACCAGGAACUGAAAAUCUUUGAACAGAUAUUAAAAUCUACGUAAGUAUACAAACUAGUUGAGGAAUAAACUGUUUUCUUUUAUA